Molecule: ribosomal RNA, 405 nt
Filed under: uncultured bacterium
Lineage: Bacteria
Description: partial 16S ribosomal RNA
Rfam family: Bacterial small subunit ribosomal RNA
Source: RNAcentral
GAUGAACGCUGGCGGCGUGCCUAAUACAUGCAAGUCGAGCGAAGCGGGGACAGGUGAGUAACACGUGGAUAACCUCCUCUAAGACUGGGGUUACUUCGGGAAACCGGUGCUUAACCCGAUACUGAUCGAUGGUUCCGGGCGGUAUUAGCUAGUUGGUAAGGUAACGGCUUACCAAGGCGACGAUGCAUAGCCGACCUGAGAGGAUGAUCAGCCACACUGGAACUGAGACACGGUCCAGACUCCUACGGGAGGCAGCAGUAGGGAAUCUUGCACAAUGGGCGAAAGCCUGACGCAGCAACGCCGCGUGAGUGAUGAAGGGCUUAGGAUCGUAAAACUCUGUUAUUAGGGAAGCGGUACCUAAUCAGAAAGCCACGGCUAACUACGUGCCAGCCGCCGCGGUAAUAC